UCUUUGGUGGUCCAGUGGUUAGGACUCCACAUUCCCAAUGGAGGGGGCCUGGGUUCAAUCCCUGGUCAGGGAA
This 73-nucleotide transfer RNA is filed under the name Bos taurus (domestic cattle). It matches the Rfam family "tRNA". From Rfam's summary of the family: Transfer RNA (tRNA) molecules are approximately 80 nucleotides in length. The record is from Rfam by way of RNAcentral. Lineage: Eukaryota; Metazoa; Chordata; Mammalia; Artiodactyla; Bovidae. RNAcentral also lists the same sequence under 2 other names.